Long non-coding RNA from Cavia porcellus (domestic guinea pig), 6485 nucleotides. RefSeq lists it as uncharacterized. The record is from RefSeq and is a predicted model, not a curated record. The transcript is spliced from 2 exons. NCBI's taxonomy places the organism in Eukaryota, Metazoa, Chordata, Mammalia, Rodentia, Caviidae.
GGACGCGCAGCCCCCGCCCCCGGAAGCUGGCUCUUACGUAACGGGGUGCGGGGUCCCCGCCCGCCCAGGCGCCCCAGUCGGCGCCGCCUCGGCUGCUGCGGGUUUUUGAGGGGGUGAAGUGGGGGUGGGGUGGAGCGGGAGUGGGGUGAUGUAGGACCCCAGCGGGGAUUCUGCCUGGGGGCAGCGACACCCGAAGGCGAGCGGGGUGGGAUGUGGGGCCCGGGCCGGGACGCGGGGGCGCGGGAUCGCGGUCUGCACCCACCUGCGCCCGCCGAGGCUGCGCGGCCGAUCCCCGACAGACUGGCACGCGGGGGCGGAGUCUGGGGCGGGGACUUGGGCGGGGCGGGGUCCCCCAGCUCCCCGACUCUAAUUGUGACGGUGACACCGGUGACGCCGCCCAAGGGGACGCGAGUCACACGGGCCUCGGCCUGGGGGACUUUUGAGGGAUUCAGCGGGGGCACCUGGAUCCUGGCCUUUAAAAAUAUUUUAGCACAGGCAGCGUCUUCGUGAAUGGGCUCGAGAGCCUCCUUCCCAGUUUCCGAGUUUCAGAAUUCCAACCCCGGGGCCUCCGGCCGCGUGUAUCCCAGCCCUCCGGGCCCCACUUCCUCCCACCUGCGGAUGUGCAUUGGUCCAGGCCCAACAACCCCCCAGCCCCAGCCCGAGAACUAACAGAGGGGUCCCAGGCUCCCCCACACAGAGCAGGCAGAUGGAGGGUUACGUGGCUGUCCGUGCUGGCCGGCCCUAGGGAUCCCAGGGACAGGGCGGGAUGGGUGGGACCUCAGUGCCCCUCUGCCACCUUCCCCUAGAACAUGCCUGGGGGCCCGAGAUCAGAAUCUGCUGGAAACCGUUUCCAGGUUUCAGCUUGGAAACCAGAAAUGGGCAGAACUUGGGCUUCAACUAGAAGAAGACCACUGGCCCUGAGUCCCCGCAGAUUCGGCUCCCGGCAGCCCAAGCAUAGAGUGUGGGUGUGGGGACAGGGCUGUCUCCAAGUGUGUGAGGCACUGCCCGGCAGAGCGGGAUACCAGUCGGUGACGUCGCAGGCAUCUGUGACCACCGUGGCGCCCUGCUCCCCCGUCCCCUCACUCUCCAGCUGACCUCAGGGAAAAAGUCCCUCUGAGAAGGCCACCGCCUCUGUCUCCCGUCCACCCCGGCUGGGGGUCACUUAGCCCUCGGUCCCUGGUCGGAGACAGGAAGAAUUUGGCGCCCCCCAAGUGCGAAUGUGGGGUGCAGCGCACGACCCCGAGCCGCCCCGAAGGAGGAGCUGCUCUCCGUAGCCCGCUUGGGGCCCUGAGGGACGAAUCUGCCCUGGCGACAUGCUGCACUUCCAGCGGCGGCCAGCAGGGAGCGCCAGAACCCAUGCCUUAUGGCUUCACCGCCCAACAAAAAGGGUCUGGAGCCCUGGGCGCCCAGGACAGACGGACAGACAGGCCUAACAGGACGGCAGAGGCUACGUGAUCCAUAAACAUCUGCUCAUUAACUACUGUACCUGCCGAGAAACCCUUCGCAUACACAGCGGGACCCUCUUCAAAGACUGUCCCGAGCCCGCCCCCCACAACCACCGCAGCCGCUGCACCCCUGUACCGUGUGCACCUGUGCGCAUGUGUGCGUGUCCCAGGCCACACAGCUGUGCUCAUGUCCUCCACAUCUGCACGCUGCAGUGCCAGCUCCCCCGGAUAAAGAUGUAGAGCCCCUUGAUCUCCAGGGACAGACAGGGUCACCCCAAAACUGCCAGGCCAUGGGUGGCACGUCCCUUUCCUGCUUGCCCACACACCCUCGAGUGGCUCCGUGCCCGGCCCCACCUGUGCACCCACUUCUUUCCUCUGUCCAGUGCCCCGGUCCCAGGGCCGCAGACUGUGGUAGCCCACCACUGUGUAGGAACCAGGGCCAGGCCGUGAGGAUAGCUGGGGAAAGUCAGUGCAGAGUCCAUGCCCAUCACUGAGUGUCCAUGGCUGGCCUUGCCUUGGGGUGCCCCAUGGACCCCGACGCAGGCCUCAGAGGUGAGGGAGCUGGUGGGGGACAGGAUACGCAGACCCAGGCAGGACACUUUGGGACCCUGGGCCGCUGAGUUGCCAUUUGGGGACAGAAAGGACAGAGAAGUGUGCUGGGGUGUGGCGGGUGGGGGCCAUGUGUGCUCACACAUGCACACAUGCACCCAGGGUGCAGUGGCAGAGAUAGGAGGGGACACUGAGCUCAGGCACCUGCCCUGGGCUUCCCAGCGCCAGGCCGCAUGAGGGCUCUGCUGCCACCAUGAGGCUGCCCACUUCCUGUCCCUCCCCGGCUGAGGCCCAGCUGCAGUGUCCUGCUCUGUCCUGAGCCUGUAUCAUAGGGCACCGCCACCCCAGCACUGCCCCACAUGUGCCCCUGCCCACCCCACCCUGGGUGCCCCAUUCUCCCUUCCUCCCCUUGGUACUGAAGGCAAUGGGGCCUCCUGCCCACCCCUGCACAGGGAUGCCCAGCACUGGCGUCAGGGCCAAGGGGGACCCCUCAUUACCUUUCUCCAGCCCAUAUGGGCCCUGCCCUUGCCCAGAUGGGCCUCGGGCUUGGGGGAAACCCAGUCAGCUGCCCAAGGCGCCCAGGGUCAAGGGGCCCACGGACUCACCCUGCCCACAGGGCACAGUUCAGGGGAGAGAUCUGCCUGGUUUUUGGAUUAUUCUUCAGUUUACCAAACUGUGGUGGCUGCAGAGACAGCUGGACUCAGUGACCUUUGAAGCAUCCACAGUGAGAAGGACCCGGGAACAGCCAGCCACUUCUCACUAAACCACACCCCUCCCCGUUCCAUGGCAUGGGUCACCCCAUCUCCAUUUCAUGUAGACUCAGUGCAGACACCUUCACUAACUCGCUGCAAGUCCCCCAGGAGCCUGUCACGGAGCCCCAGUGUGGGGACCAGGGCUGCUUCCGCCUCAGCCUCCUCCCUGUGGCCCCGACUCCUUUGUGAAUCCACUGCCACCUCUCCACGCCCCACUGCUCCUCAAAAUGGUGACACCUUCCCUGCAAGGGUUUCCAGAGGCCUCCGAAGCUCUCACUGCUCCACUCUGGAGUGGCAGUGCUGGCUGGGGCCUGAGUCAAGAGCCCAGUGCUUCCAGAGGCAGUGACUUCUAGGACUCAGUCCCCUGGUCAGUGCUGCUGGGUGGCCAUGGAAGUCCUGCAAGGUGGGGCUCCCAGAGAUCCCUGCCACACUCUGGAGGAUGCAGGGCCUAGACCUCGCCCUGCCCCUACUCAUGAUGGAAGACAUACUGCCCGAUGUUCUCAGAGGCCACAGCUAUAGUCACACCAAGCUGGACAGGAGUCCUGGCCCUCUGGGCCAUAGCCCUCCUGAGCUGGUGUCACCCAGAGAACCUGCAGCUGUCCAAGAGGAGCAGCCUGGAGACAGACCUCAGACCUCAGAACAGGAAGGGGACAAACCAGCUGGCCACACCCAGCCACAGCGCCCGCCCUGGUCCUCACUGAUCCUGGACAAUGCCUGAGAGCUGGUGCCAUUAACAGGACUCACGCAUGUCCCAUCCCUUGGAAAGCCCAUCCCAUGAGAGCACAAGCUGCUGGUUUCCAGCACAGCCUUUCCCCAAACCCCUCCCCCUCCUGGUCCUCGAGGCCCAGAUCUCCCGCCAUCCAGAGGAAGGAAGAGGCCGAGAAAAGCCAGUGGCCCAUGCUAGCCUGGCACAUGAUGCCAGAAGCUGUGGCGGAGCUGUCGCCCUCCAUGGGAAGGCCACGUUGUUGCCAGCUAACGGGCACUGGAGAACAGGAGCCUCGCGCCUGGCUUCUGUGACUUCCAUGCCAGACACACAGGCCAGGUCCAAGACAGGGGGAUCUGCAUGGAAAGGACUGGGCAGCCAGGGGCCGAGGGCAGUGGCUUCUCUCUGGGGGAUGGAAACACCCCUCGGUGGACAGUGACGCUGGGCUGCAGCUGUGUGGGGGAGCUGAGGAGGCAGCCCCACAGGCCUCAUCCCCAAUCCUGACUUGGGUUGCACAACUGCUUCCCACUGCGUCCCAGAAAGAACCCAAUGGAAGUCUUCACCCAGGACCUGGACCAGGGCAACACACAGGGACACUUGAUGCUCAACCUGAAGCACUGAGAUGUGAGGGGGUCCCCACAUCCCGGGGGCAUCCCCAUCAUCCCUGGAUCAGGCAGGAGCCAGGCCCCAGAAGUCAAUGCUGUUCUCCAAGACACUCUGGUCUCAUCCAGCAGGGAAGUGAAACCCACACCCAAAUAAGAUGGUUAACAGCUAUUCACUCAACAAACCCCAGACCUGUGCUGUACUCCAGGCAGUGGGUGAAGUCGCUGGGUGGACACAGCUCUUUCCUCUUCUCUGGGGGCUCAGCUAGGCAGCUCCCCCAGACACUGGGGGCAGAGCCCUGGGAGACAGGAGGACAGGGAGGGUCCAAGGGCUCCAAAGGGGUCUGGCGGAGGUGAACCAAAGAGACUCGACAGGCAGAGGCACAGAAAAGCUGCCGGGCUCCUCAGCAGCUCUGGGACCCCAUAGGUGAUAAGUAGACAGGUGGGUGCAGUCAGCGGGAAGCAGUUCUUGAGCAGGCAAAGCUGGGGCAGCCACCGAGGAAUGCACCCUCCCCUGUGCUGGACAGUGCCACAUGGCCACACGUCCUGCUCAGGCCGUGCCUGACUAGGGGAUCCCUGAGAUCAAGGGAGGACACAGGUGAGCACCAGGCAACCCCGUGGAGGAGGGCAGCACUCUGGGUUGUCAUGUGUCAUGUGACCAGGUGGUGAGCCGGGCUCCCUCUGUAGACUGCUCCCCACUGCAGUGCCCUCCCUCGGUGAGGUGGCCCCAGGAAUCUUUGCACCAGAAGGAUAGGCCCAGGCCCCAGGACCCCCUGCCCGGCACAGGGCCCAGUGGCACCAGCAGCAGCAGGCAGUGGGCGGUGGAGCAGGCCUGUGGGCAGCCCUGACUUCGAGGAAGGGGUCUCAUGUCUCUGGACAGUUCAUCGGGACCCAGGGCCAGUUCGGCCCUAGCCUGCGUACCUGGAGCAAAAGGUCACCUAUGUGUCCCACCUACCACCAGGGAUGGCAGGAACAGUGCCCAAGGGAGAGCAGCCAAUAGCCCGUGAGUGUCCACAUCCACCUGUCUGUUGCCUGCGGAGAUGGGACAGGAGGUCAGGCAGAGGGUAGAGUACAGAGGCCUAGGGGACAUACAGGCCCCGAAGUCCUGCCCAAUCCGGCCCCAGCCCAGUGACCUUACCACAGCAUGGUAACGUCAACUGCCCCGCAGGAACCAUCGCAUCCGCUGUGCUGGAGCCCAGACCAUGGGAGAGGCAGUGGAGCCGAGGAAGGUCCCUGAGAGUGGCAGCGAGGGCUCAGGGUUCGGCUGCCUGUCAGGCUGAGGGAGAGUGUGGUCUGAGGGCUUCCCCGCGCCCUGCACUCAGCGGGAUGUGAGGUCCCCCGAUGUCCCCGUGAGCAGCCCGCUCUUCACUUGACCUGGGCUGAGUCGCUGAGCGCCUGCCACAGCCCUGGUACCUUCUGGGCUCCGGUGCCACUUUCACGGGCAACUCUGGCCGCGCCCAGUGGCUGGACAGGGCCUCAGACAGCAGGUGAUGAGCUUGGGACACGGCGAGUGACGCCUGCGGAGCAGUGGGGCAGGUAGACGGCAAGCUCGGCGCUCCGGCAGAGGCGAUGCCCCAGCCAGGUCGGCGACGGAGGGGGCGCAGGGGGAGAGGCUCGGCAAGGGAAAGUCAGGCUACAGGGCGCACUCCCCAUUUGCUGGUUUUUGCGGUGCUGGUGUUGAAUCCAGCGCGCUCUCGCUGCGCCCGUUUUGUUCUGGAAGGGGCUCCCCCUAAGUCGCCCAACUGGCCUGGAACUUGACCAUCCUCCCGCCUCAGCUUCCGAACGCUGGGCUCACGGGCGCUCCCUAGGACCCACACCUUGCUAGCGGGCGCACGCUGCGCCCUGGGCCCCAGGCUGUCCCUUGGGUUGCAAGACCCGGGCAUCACGUGACCUCUGCCCCCACCUGCACCGCGUGUCAUUGCAGGUCUCCCACCCGCAGGCGGCGGCCCUGGGCUGCGCCUGCGCACUGGCGUCAGCUGUCUGGGGUGGUUGCUGCUGGAGCCCGGUGCGCGGAGCUGCAGAUGCCCGCGGCCGCGAGCCUGCACUGGUCGGCUGGCUCUCCCAACUUCGGCCACCUCACCAAGUACAUAGCGAAGUUUUUCGGCAGCAGGUGGACCCCGAGGUCCUCUGGGGGCAAGGGCUCCAGGCACCCCACACGCGUGCGUGCGGGACCUACGCAGACGCGUCUUACCCAGCGCGAAGAAACCCAUAAACCAGCUGAAACCCACGAUCGCCACGAACACCUCGAGCGCCACGAACACCACGAAAGCCACGGAAUCCCAGAGCCUCCCAAGCCCCACGCUGCGAUAGGCGCCAGAGCUCGGAACUCUGCUGCCCCCUCCCCCCAGGGCCCCGACUAGGACGUCAUGGACCCUGCGUGGGCAUGGGGCCCGGCUCCUCCCACCCUCAAGAGCAAUAAAGAGGCACUAGAGCA